Long non-coding RNA from Manihot esculenta (cassava), 666 nucleotides. RefSeq lists it as uncharacterized. The record is from RefSeq and is a predicted model, not a curated record. The transcript is spliced from 2 exons. Lineage: Eukaryota; Viridiplantae; Streptophyta; Magnoliopsida; Malpighiales; Euphorbiaceae.
UGAAAAUAAAUAUUUCUCUACCUGCAAUUAUUCUUAAAAGAAGAGAAUGAAGAACAAUCCCCCAAACCCCUCUCGAACAAAUCGCAACGCCACCAGCCGCCUUACUCCUCCUCCCCCUCUCCGGAACACCUCCGCCGACAAGUCCAAUGGUUUCCCUUCUCUCUCUUCGUCCUACAAGGCCACCAUGAAGAGUUCCAUAGAAGCCAUAUCACAUGUCGUGGUGAACUCCAUUCAGUUUCGAUCUGAUGUGUGCAACUUGUAAAAGGGUUAAGUUAGGGGCUUCCAUGCUCAAAGCUUGACAUACGAUGAUCUGAUAGAACAGCAAAUAAUUGUGUGUCUACAAAUAGCUGCAAAAUACAUAGAAGAACACAUGAGCAAUUAAAAGUUCUAUGACUAAUCCAUUCAAGAAAAUUGAGAAUUGAGAAGAGUGCAUACUGCAAAGGCUCAACAAGUAACAUAUCAAAAUCUUCAGGAUACGUGCUUCAGUUAAUCACAAGUAUUAACUCAGCAGCAAGAGUGAUGGAAGAUUCAUAUAUAGAAAGUGUGGUGGUUCUCAUAAUCUGAAAAAUGACUUCCUUUUUUGAAAAGAAUAAGUCAUUUUUUCUAAAAGUGAGUUAAUUUUCCUUUAACUAAGAACAUAUAUUCCUUUGACUAAUUUUUUUUUAG